ACCGAGUGGUUAAGGCGAUGGACUAGAAAUCCAUGGGGGUCUCCCCGCACAGGUUCAAAUCCUGU
RNAcentral lists this transfer RNA (65 nucleotides) under Ixodes scapularis (black-legged tick). It matches the Rfam family "tRNA", at positions 10 to 63 of the family's 71-position model. From Rfam's summary of the family: Transfer RNA (tRNA) molecules are approximately 80 nucleotides in length. Their secondary structure includes four short double-helical elements and three loops (D, anti-codon, and T loops). Further hydrogen bonds mediate the characteristic L-shaped molecular structure. tRNAs have two regions of fundamental functional importance: the anti-codon, which is responsible for specific mRNA codon recognition, and the 3' end, to which the tRNAs corresponding amino acid is attached (by aminoacyl-tRNA synthetases). tRNAs cope with the degeneracy of the genetic code in two manners: having more than one tRNA (with a specific anti-codon) for a particular amino acid; and 'wobble' base-pairing, i.e. permitting non-standard base-pairing at the 3rd anti-codon position. The record is from Rfam by way of RNAcentral. Lineage: Eukaryota; Metazoa; Arthropoda; Arachnida; Ixodida; Ixodidae.